CAGUCGCCGCGGGAAUACAGAGGGUGCGAGCGUUAAUCGGAUUUACUGGGCGUAAAGCGUGCGUAGGCGGCUAAUUGAGUCGGAUGCGAAAUCCCCGAGCUUAACUUGGGAAUUGCAUUCGAUACUGGUUAGCUAGAGUGUGGGAGAGGAUGGUAGAAUUCCAGGUGUAGCGGUGAAAUGCGUAGAGAUCUGGAGGAAUACCGAUGGCGAAGGCAGCCAUCUGGCCUAACACUGACGCUGAGGUACGAAAGCAUGGGGAGCAAACAGGAUUAGAUACCCGUGUAGUCCCUGUCUCUUAUAC
RNAcentral lists this ribosomal RNA (301 nucleotides) under uncultured bacterium. RNAcentral's name for it is "partial 16S ribosomal RNA". It matches the Rfam family "Bacterial small subunit ribosomal RNA", at positions 509 to 807 of the family's 1533-position model. The record is from RNAcentral.